This 127-nucleotide small RNA is filed under the name Marmota monax (woodchuck). Lineage: Eukaryota; Metazoa; Chordata; Mammalia; Rodentia; Sciuridae. The record is from RNAcentral.
GCCAGGCAUGGUGGCACAUGCCUGUAAUCCCAGCGGCUCAGGAGGCUGAGGCAAAAGGAUCAUGAGUUCAAAGCCAGCUUCAGCAACUUAGCAAGGUACUGAGCAACUCAGUGAGACCCUGUCUCUA